AUUGAACGCUGGCGGCAGGCCUAACACAUGCACGUCGAACUAGUGGCAGACGGGUGAGUAAUGUCUGUGAAACUGCCUGAUGGAGGGGGAUAACUACUGGAAACGGUAGCUAAUACCGCAUACCAUCAGAUGUGCCCAGAUGGGAUUAGCUUGUUGGUGGGGUAACGGCUCACAACAGCGACGAUCCCUAGCUGGUCUGCGAGGAUGACAAGCAACACGGGAACUGAGACACGGGCCAGACGCCUACGGUAGUCAGCAGUGCGGAAGAUUGAACAAUGGGCGCAAGCCUUAUGCAGCCAGGCCGCGUGGAUUAAGAAGGCCUUCGGGUUGUAAAGUACUUUCAGCGGGGAGGCGUUACCCGCAGAAGAAGCACCGGCUAACUCCGUGCCAGCAGCCGCGGUAAUAC
This 406-nucleotide ribosomal RNA is filed under the name uncultured bacterium. Its description in RNAcentral is "partial 16S ribosomal RNA". It matches the Rfam family "Bacterial small subunit ribosomal RNA", at positions 30 to 526 of the family's 1533-position model. The record is from RNAcentral.